CAGGCUUAACACAUGCAAGUCGAGGGGCAUCAGGAAGAAAGCUUGCUUUCUUUGCUGGCGACCGGCGCACGGGUGAGUAACACGUAUCCAACCUGCCCUUUACUCGGGGAUAGCCUUUCGAAAGAAAGAUUAAUACCCGAUAGCAUAAUGAUUCCGCAUGGUUUCAUUAUUAAAGGAUUCCGGUAAAGGAUGGGGAUGCGUUCCAUUAGGUUGUUGGUGAGGUAACGGCCCACCAAGCCUUCGAUGGAUAGGGGUUCUGAGAGGAAGGUCCCCCACAUUGGAACUGAGACACGGUCCAAACUCCUACGGGAGGCAGCAGUGAGGAAUAUUGGUCAAUGGGCGCUAGCCUGAACCAGCCAAGUAGCGUGAAGGAUGAAGGCUCUAUGGGUCGUAAACUUCUUUUAUAUAAGAAUAAAGUGCAGUAUGUAUACUGUUUUGUAUGUAUUAUAUGAAUAAGGAUCGGCUAACUCCGUGCCAGCAGCCGCGGUAAUACGGAGGAUCCGAGCGUUAUCCGGAUUUAUUGGGUUUAAAGGGAGCGUAGGUGGACUGGUAAGUCAGUUGUGAAAGUUUGCGGCUCAACCGUAAAAUUGCAGUUGAUACUGUCAGUCUUGAGUACAGUAGAGGUGGGCGGAAUUCGUGGUGUAGCGGUGAAAUGCUUAGAUAUCACGAAGAACUCCGAUUGCGAAGGCAGCUCACUGGACUGCAACUGACACUGAUGCUCGAAAGUGUGGGUAUCAAACAGGAUUAGAUACCCUGGUAGUCCACACAGUAAACGAUGAAUACUCGCUGUUUGCGAUAUACAGUAAGCGGCCAAGCGAAAGCAUUAAGUAUUCCACCUGGGGAGUACGCCGGCAACGGUGAAACUCAAAGGAAUUGACGGGGGCCCGCACAAGCGGAGGAACAUGUGGUUUAAUUCGAUGAUACGCGAGGAACCUUACCCGGGCUUAAAUUGCAGUGGAAUGAUGUGGAAACAUGUCAGUGAGCAAUCACCGCUGUGAAGGUGCUGCAUGGUUGUCGUCAGCUCGUGCCGUGAGGUGUCGGCUUAAGUGCCAUAACGAGCGCAACCCUUAUCUUUAGUUACUAACAGGUUAUGCUGAGGACUCUGGAGAGACUGCCGUCGUAAGAUGUGAGGAAGGUGGGGAUGACGUCAAAUCAGCACGGCCCUUACGUCCGGGGCUACACACGUGUUACAAUGGGGGGUACAGAAGGCAGCUAGCGGGUGACCGUAUGCUAAUCCCAAAAGCCUCUCUCAGUUCGGAUCGAAGUCUGCAACCCGACUUCGUGAAGCUGGAUUCGCUAGUAAUCGCGCAUCAGCCACGGCGCGGUGAAUACGUUCCCGGGCCUUGUACACACCGCCCGUCAAGCCAUGGGAGCCGGGGGUACCUGAAGUACGUAACCGCAAGGAUCGUCCUAGGGUAAAACUGGUGACUGGGG
RNAcentral lists this ribosomal RNA (1434 nucleotides) under uncultured organism. RNAcentral's name for it is "16S ribosomal RNA". It matches the Rfam family "Bacterial small subunit ribosomal RNA". The record is from RNAcentral.